RNAcentral lists this ribosomal RNA (467 nucleotides) under uncultured bacterium. Its description in RNAcentral is "partial 16S ribosomal RNA". It matches the Rfam family "Bacterial small subunit ribosomal RNA", at positions 28 to 506 of the family's 1533-position model. The record is from RNAcentral.
GACGAACGCUGGCGGCGUGCUUAACACAUGCAAGUCGAACGGAAAGGCCCUGCUUUUGUGGGGUGCUCGAGUGGCGAACGGGUGAGUAACACGUGAGUAACCUGCCCUUGACUUUGGGAUAACUUCAGGAAACUGGGGCUAAUACCGGAUAGGAGCUCCUGCUGCAUGGUGGGGGUUGGAAAGUUUCGGCGGUUGGGGAUGGACUCGCGGCUUAUCAGCUUGUUGGUGGGGUAGUGGCUUACCAAGGCUUUGACGGGUAGCCGGCCUGAGAGGGUGACCGGCCACAUUGGGACGGAGAUACGGCCCAGACUCCUACGGGAGGCAGCAGUGGGGAAUAUUGCACAAUGGGCGGAAGCCUGAUGCAGCAACGCCGCGUGCGGGAUGACGGCCUUCGGGUUGUAAACCGCUUUCGCCUGUGACGAAGCGUGAGUGACGGUAAUGGGUAAAGAAGCACCGGCGAACUACGU